This 547-nucleotide ribosomal RNA is filed under the name Cunninghamella elegans. RNAcentral describes it as "partial 18S ribosomal RNA". The record is from RNAcentral. Lineage: Eukaryota; Fungi; Mucoromycota; Mucoromycetes; Mucorales; Cunninghamellaceae.
AUAGGCGGGUCUCCAAAGAUUAAGCCAAUGCAAGUUUUAAGGAAUAGGCAAUUUUAUCCAAGGGAAACUGCCGAAAUGGCCUCAAUUAAAUCAAGUAUUGAUCUACCAUGGGCAAACUUUUUUUCGCUACUGGAUAACCGUGGUAAUUCUAGAGCUAAAUACAUGCAGAAAAGCCCUGACUUCGGAACGGGUGCACCUAUUAGGUUAUAAACCCAUACCCACCUUUACCCGGGGGGUUUAAUGGGGAGUUCAUACACAAAUUAAGCUGUUUGCAAAGGCCAUAGACCGGGACGGGACAUUGAUUUUUGGCGCCAUCAGGGCUAUGAUGGAAGUAAUGGCUAAAACAUGGCAUCACGCGUAACGUGGAGUUAAGUGUUAUUCCCCAGAAGGGACCCACGUUCGGAGUCACGUCCCAAGAAGGCAUCAGCUGCACAAUUACCCCAGUUCUCCAGUGGUAAGGAAUUGCCAAUGGGUAUCAAUGCAGGGUUAAUAAGCCAUUUGCAAUUUCCAUGAAUCGGUGUCCCCGCCAAACUGCAGUCCCCCAAAG